GGCAUUGUUAGGGUGAGCAUACCGUGUCUUGUUCGCACGGCCCAGCCGCGAACAGAGGACGAUAAGGUCGAUUGGCACGAAGCACUCAAUGUCGUUCUUUUCCCCCGCUGAAUUGUAUAGUGCGUACCUCACUACGUUAAGUACCUCCAAAGUUUCGCCUUGCGCAAGGUAACCUUUCUAAAGUAUAUAGCCUUCUGCCGUGAGCCUUGUCUGAGCGGUGGUCUCCCCGUCACCCUUUGGACCGGCGAAGCCAGGCAAAACGCAUCGCUGCGGUAAUGCGUCUGGCACAUGCGGUCCUCGGUUCUUCUUGGUUCUGUUAGUAUGAGACUGAUGGAGAAAAGAUAUCAAAAAUGAUAGACGCUGUUGGAUGAUCCUUUAAUAUUGGCUAUUGAAGCGACACUGUUGUCUCUUGAACGAAGGUAAUUCCACGUAAUAAGCGAAGAUUGAAAAGUACUAUGUUAGUAGGAUUGAUAUGCAAGAUGGUCAUUCGAAAAUAUGUAUAUAUAAUAGUCAGCUAUGAAGCAUUUCUUGCACUAACCC
This 540-nucleotide small RNA is filed under the name Histoplasma capsulatum. RNAcentral describes it as "hypothetical RNA". Lineage: Eukaryota; Fungi; Ascomycota; Eurotiomycetes; Onygenales; Ajellomycetaceae. RNAcentral also lists the same sequence under 1 other name. The record is from RNAcentral.